This 715-nucleotide ribosomal RNA is filed under the name Gagea commutata. RNAcentral's name for it is "eukaryotic LSU rRNA". The stretch from base 279 to 434 matches the Rfam family "5.8S ribosomal RNA". Lineage: Eukaryota; Viridiplantae; Streptophyta; Magnoliopsida; Liliales; Liliaceae. The record is from RNAcentral.
AGGAGAAGUCGUAACAAGGUUUCCGUAGGUGAACCUGCGGAAGGAUCAUUGUCGAGUCCCUGAUCGAAAGACCGCGAACUUGUAAACGGAUGGCUCGGGGUGGUGGGGCCAGCCCCUAUCGCCCCGGGGCCCCGCCUCCUCGUGUGAGGCGUCGCCUUAGACGGGGACGGCGGGGGAACGGACAAAACCCCGGCGCGGCCAGCGCCAAGGAUCAUACAAUUGGAGUUAGAGUGUGCCGCGGCCCUUGCGGCCGUAGGUGCUCCCUAAAGAAUCUUUAAGACUCUCGGCAACGGAUAUCUCGGCUCUUACAUCGAUGAAGAACGUAGCGAAAUGCGAUACUUGGUGUGAAUUGCAGAAUCCCGUGAACCAUCGAGUCUUUGAACGCAAGUUGCGCCCGAGGCCUUUGGGUUGAGGGCACGCCUGCCUGGGCGUCACGCCUCGCAUCGAACCGCACCCUCACUCCCCUCGCGGGUUGGGUGUGGCUUCGGAGAUUGGCCAUCCGUGCACUCGCGCGCGGUGGGCUUAAGAGCGGGUUGCCGGCCGUGCAGGCACGACGAGUGGUGGACCUUGUGCCAACAGGAUGUCGUGUCCCAGGCCGGCGAAGAGCCUAGUACUCCCGGAAUGGGCGUGUAGGUGCCCUCCCGUCUGGGAGGGUGCGCCGCCUCGCACCGUGACCCCAGGUCAGGCGGGGACACCCGCUGAGUUUAAGCAUAUC